Cannabis sativa is the source of this 2529-nucleotide long non-coding RNA. RefSeq lists it as uncharacterized. Lineage: Eukaryota; Viridiplantae; Streptophyta; Magnoliopsida; Rosales; Cannabaceae. The record is from RefSeq and is a predicted model, not a curated record. The transcript has 3 exons.
AGAACAUGUUUUUGAAAAAUAUUUUUACUAUCCACUUUUAAAAAUAGAAAACUGAUUAAAAAAAUGUUACCAAAUCACCAUAGGGAAAUCAUGUAAGGGUAAUCAUGCAAGGGUAAUCAAAUGGAAUUUUUACACAAAAUGACUAUUUUGACCAAUUUUUAACAUUUAUAUUAUCCUUUCUAAUUUUUAACAUUUUUACUUUUUAAAAUUUUCUUUAAUACUUUUUUAAAGUUUUAUAAUUACAUAUUUACCUUUUGUUCUUCUUUUUCAUAUCUAACCUCAUUCAGAUCUGGGUUCAACAAGUCCUCUUACUCUCUCAUCAAGCUUAUCGAGCUUUCACACUUGUCUUCGCACAAUCACCAUAUGUAGCUUCUCGUCAUCUGCCUCUUCUCAAGCCACCAUUGUCGUUCAAUCGAUGUUUUCAUCCAUUGAAGAGGCUUUUCAGGGAAAAACGUGAGGUGCAUGAUAAGACCUCUGACGUUGUUGACAAGUUGAAGCUUUCAAAGAAAAAUAUUAUCAAGGUUUAUAAUUUGUUUUUCUAAUUUAUCUUGUUUGAAAUGUUCUCUGAUUGUUGUUCAUUCAUUUGAAAAAAAAAUCAUACCAGAAAGUUAUUUUAUAGUUUGUUUAAUGUUGUUUUGAUGUUGUUUUAACUGCUGCAGGACUUGAUUUCUAGUGAUGAUGAACUUCAAAGUUGAUCAGAAUAGACUUGUUGUUCAUUUCUAUUCCUUUGAUAGAAUGAAGUGAGUUGCAAACAUUGAAAGUGUACAAGAAAAUGUUUCAAAGUCUUUUAAGAAAAUUGAAGCCACUAUACAUGAAUUAAUGAUUGAGGAGUGUAUUUGAAGUUAUUUUAUGAUGCUAUUUAAAUAUUCUGUUAAAGUGGAGUUAUUAUAUAUUUAUUAAUUUAUUGUUAUUUAGUUGUUCAAUCAAGAAAAACUAAAUAUAUAUAUGUUUAAUUUUACAUGGAAACAUAUAUAAAGAUUGUUGUUGUGUUAUUUUUCUAAGAUUAUUUGUGUUUUUAGUUAACACCACAUGUUGAUGUCUAAUAACUUUUCAUAUUAGAAUAGAGUUGUUAUCUUAUUAUCUGCUCGUUGUUAUUUAGUUGUUUAACUACGUAAAAAAAUUAAAUGAAUAUAUGUUUACUUUUUUAUGGGUAUAUAAUUUUUUUAAGUUGAUGCACUAGUAUUUUGUAGUUUCUUUUACUUUUUUCUUAAAGAUUAUUUAUCAAUAAUUUUUGAAUUUCUUUUGAGUUAAUGCAAUGCGUUGUUAAUUAAUUAAUUUACGUAUUAAUAUGAAGUUGUUAUCUAGUUAUUUUAUUUUUUCAUAUAUAAUUGUCCAAUCAAGAGAAAAAUAGUUUAUGUCUUAGUUUUUCAUGGUUCAUACUUUUUGUUGUUUGUUAGUUUCUUUCAUAUUUUAUACACUAUUAGUUGAUGUACAAUUGAUUUUUAUGUUAAAAUAGAAUUGUUACUGUGUUGUUUAUUCGUUGCUAUUAUGUUGUUUAACAAAAAGAAAAAUGAGUAUAUACUUAUUUUUUUAAUGUGUAGAUAUAUUUUUAAGUUGGUGUACAAGUGUUAUGUAGUUGUUUUUAAAUUUAUUUUAUAGAUUAUUUGUGUAUUUUUUUCUUAGAUCUUAUGUAAUUUAUGAAGUUGUUUUCAUGCCUAUUUAACUUGCAUAUUAUAGUAAGUUGUUAUGCAGUUAUUUAUUUGUUGUUAUUUAGUUAUUCAACCAAAUAAAAAUGAAUAUAUACACAUGUUUAUUUUAUUUUAUACAUUAGUGAUGUUUUUUACUUUUUUAGAGUUAUUUUUAUGCCUAUGUAAUUUGCAUAUUGUAGUGGAAUUUAUGCAGUUGUGUUUUUGUUGUUUAACUAAGAGAAAUAAAUGUAUAUAUAUUUUCUUUAUUCGUGUGUUGUUUUUAUUUUAUUUUUUAAGUUGGCGUAAGUGUUGAUGCUCAAUUAAUUUUUAUAUUAAAAUAAAAUUGUUAUCGUGUUGUUUAUUCGUUGCUAUUAAGUUAUUUCAGUAUUGUAUUUUUUGAAGAUUUUAUCUUAUAAAUUUAUUUUUGUUUGCAUAAUAUGAUAAACUUUAAUUGAUUUAUAUGUUAUGGUUAAGUUGUUUUCUAGUUAUUUUUGUGUUGUUGUUUAGUUGUUUUGCACUGAGAAAAGAAGUCUUAUACGUUAAAAUUCAUUUUGUCCGAAUUCGCCACGUGGCAACCACUGCUGCGUUCUGACGCUACAGUUUGUGAGCGUCAGGCAAGUCUGAAUGCUUUGUCCCUCACUCGCGUGUGAGUCUCACUCGCCCACAUAGCCACAUGUGUGCCACACAUCUCCUUGCGCAUCUGGGGGAGUUUUCAAGUGUAUUUUUGUAAAUAAGAAACUUUAAAAAUAGUAUAUUUGAAAUUAAUAAACAAUAUAAAUGUUUAUUUUUGCUUAUGGUAGUAUAAAUGUAUAUUUAAAGUAAUUUUAACCCAAAAUAGAAAAAACCCCUAAUCAAAUACCCUUAUGUAACCAGAAAGAUAACUAGUUACCAUAAAGGGUAA